RNAcentral lists this transfer RNA (85 nucleotides) under Monilinia laxa. Its description in RNAcentral is "tRNA-Leu". Lineage: Eukaryota; Fungi; Ascomycota; Leotiomycetes; Helotiales; Sclerotiniaceae. The record is from RNAcentral.
AAGGUAGUGAUGGAAUUGGUAGACAUGAAUAGCUUAGGCCUAUUUGAUUUUUUUAAUCUUAUCCGUUCAAGUCGGAUUUACCUUA